AACGGCCGUACCAUGCUGAAUAUACCGGUUCUCGUUAGAUCACCGAAGUCAAGCAUCAUUGGGCGCGGUCAGUACUUGGGUGGGUGACCACCUGGGAACACCGCUUGCCGU
Molecule: non-coding RNA, 111 nt
Organism: Caerostris darwini
Lineage: Eukaryota; Metazoa; Arthropoda; Arachnida; Araneae; Araneidae
Source: the annotation of a GenBank genome assembly